GGGAGGGGCAGGGCCCUCCCAGCCCCGCCCAGGCCCAGGAGGGGGGGGAGGGGCCGGAGCCGCCCCCCGGCUGCAGCUGCGGUGUCCCAGGCCCCGCCCUGCAGGAGGUGCUGGGGGCGCUGCUGAGCUCCGCCCACGGCCCCGCCCUGAUUGGCUGCGCACAGUGCCCCCCCGGGGGUCCCAAGGCUCACCUGGGCCCCUGCGACCUCCGAGCUGUCAAUCACCUGCUGGAGGGCGGAGCCUACGCGUCCCUGCAGGAGUUCGCUCAGGACGUGGCCGCGGUGCUGCUCAGGGGGGGGAGGGGCGGCACAAGCCCCGCCCCCAGCCCAGGCCCCCGCCGCCC
Long non-coding RNA from Camarhynchus parvulus, 343 nucleotides. RefSeq lists it as uncharacterized. Lineage: Eukaryota; Metazoa; Chordata; Aves; Passeriformes; Thraupidae. The record is from RefSeq and is a predicted model, not a curated record. The transcript is spliced from 4 exons.